CUACGUGCCAGCAGCCGCGGUAAUACGGAGGAUGCGAGCGUUAUCCGGAUUUAUUGGGUUUAAAGGGAGCGUAGGCUGGAGAUUAAGUGUGUUGUGAAAUGUAGACGCUCAACGUCUGACUUGCAGCGCAUACUGGUUUCCUUGAGUACGCACAACGUUGGCGGAAUUCGUCGUGUAGCGGUGAAAUGCUUAGAUAUGACGAAGAACUCCGAUUGCGAAGGCAGCUGACGGGAGCGCAACUGACGCUGAAGCUCGAAGGUGCGGGUAUCGAACAGGAUUAGAUACCCUGGUAGUCCGCACAGUAAACGAUGGAUGCCCGCUGUUGGUACUUGGUAUCAGCGGCUAAGCGAAAGCAUUAAGCAUCCCACCUGGGGAGUACGCCGGCAACGGUGAAACUCAAAGGAAUUGACGGGGGCCCGCACAAGCGGAGGAACAUGUGGUUUAAUUCGAUGAUACGCGAGGAACCUUACCCGGGCUUGAAUUGCAGAGGAAGGAUUUAGAGAUA
Molecule: ribosomal RNA, 505 nt
Filed under: uncultured bacterium
Lineage: Bacteria
Description: bacterial SSU rRNA
Rfam family: Bacterial small subunit ribosomal RNA
Source: RNAcentral